AGAUGCGCAGCAGCUCAGCUGUGAUUUGUUUGGAACUAUUUUCGUUGAUGAAAUGGAGCACAAUCAGACAACAGUGUUCCUAAAAUUGAUCUGAAAAUAGAGCUGUGGAUUGCCAAGACAGACUGUCACUGAAAACAAUGAACCUCUGAUUCCUCAUCGAUCGAGAAGAUUCUUGUUCUCAGAAUUUUUAAAGAAGGUGAUUCUCUGAAUUACAACCGUUCAGCAUCAGCGAAGACUCAACAGCACAAUGGCAUACGUCCAGAUGCAUACAAAACAGUUCAGAUGCUGUGAGUGGGGAUCUACUUGAAAAAUGAAGCAAAGAUGGAGAGAGAAAGAAAAUAAGCUUCUCAUUUGACCGUCAAAAUGUGCUUAAAGAGUUCAAAGGAGGUCCAAGGAUCUCAAGUGAAGAGCGACAGCGUUGUUAUGAGGGAAAUGUGCUCCAGUUCAAAUGCAUUAUUAAACACUGGCCUUUGCUUUGGCUCGCUAUUUCUGGUUUCCAAUAAAGAUCAAUGUUUCUCUUUUUAUUGCAUUUUUUCUCUCAACUUUCCUUAUUGCAUAAAACACUAGCUCUCUGCAAUG
Molecule: long non-coding RNA, 579 nt
Organism: Sinocyclocheilus grahami
Lineage: Eukaryota; Metazoa; Chordata; Actinopteri; Cypriniformes; Cyprinidae
Exons: 3
Source: RefSeq, a predicted model, not a curated record